RNAcentral lists this ribosomal RNA (497 nucleotides) under uncultured bacterium. RNAcentral's name for it is "partial 16S ribosomal RNA". It matches the Rfam family "Bacterial small subunit ribosomal RNA", at positions 28 to 507 of the family's 1533-position model. The record is from RNAcentral.
GAUGAACGCUGGCGGCGUGCCUAAUACAUGCAAGUCGAGCGAACGGACGAGAAGCUUGCUUUUCUGAUGUUAGCGGCGGACGGGUGAGUAACACGUGGAUAACCUACCUAUAAGACUGGGAUAACUUCGGGAAACCGGAGCUAAUACCGGAUAAUAUUUUGAACCGCAUGGUUCAAAAGUGAAAGACGGUCUUGCUGUCACUUAUAGAUGGAUCCGCGCUGCAUUAGCUAGUUGGUAAGGUAACGGCUUACCAAGGCAACGAUGCAUAGCCGACCUGAGAGGGUGAUCGGCCACACUGGAACUGAGACACGGUCCAGACUCCUACGGGAGGCAGCAGUAGGGAAUCUUCCGCAAAGGGCGAAAGCCUGACGGAGCAACGCCGCGUGAGUGAUGAAGGUCUUCGGAUCGUAAAACUCUGUUAUUAGGGAAGAACAUAUGCGUAAGUAACUGUGCACAUCUUGACGGUACCUAAUCAGAAAGCCACGGCUAGCUACGUG